Lactuca sativa (garden lettuce) is the source of this 2148-nucleotide long non-coding RNA. RefSeq lists it as uncharacterized. The record is from RefSeq and is a predicted model, not a curated record. NCBI's taxonomy places the organism in Eukaryota, Viridiplantae, Streptophyta, Magnoliopsida, Asterales, Asteraceae.
GUCGGCUUAGGUCAGACUUGUUUGAUCCCACAUUGGUGCCGAUUAAAAAUGAGAGCAGCUAUAUAAGGAGUCGAGAGAGAAGAAGAAGCACGACCUUACUUGAACAGGAUCUGUUCUAUAGGCUCGUACCUCUGUAUUCUUGAUUCCUAUGAAGACAGAAACCCAUGUCUGGUUGAUGAACCACGACCAUGUAACCAGAGCGUGAUUAACAGAACUUCAUGGUCUCGGCCAUGGCUCGGUAGAUGAUCGUUGCCAAUCCAUCUAAUGGUCCUGGCAUGUCUACAUGGUUGUCUGACAGACAAACUCAUAUUUUUUUGUUUUUAUUAUAUGGAAAGCGCUGAAGUUAUACGGAAAUUUGUCUAAAUUAGAGCUGCACACCAAAUGUUUGAUGAAAUGCCUGAAGGAGAUUGCCUUUCCUUUUUUGCCUUCUUCUACAGUCAGGUGAUGAUUUAUCCCUACUUUGAUCAUGAGUGAAUUCUUGAGAUAUUGAAUUUGUUUAGGAAGAUGGAAUGGGAGGGUGUAAAUCAGUAAAUUGUAAUCCAUUAUAAACAAAGUGAUACUAUGUGCUAAGAUUUGAUGACGCAUGUAUAAAGAAAGUAAGGAAGUAGAUUUUGGAGAAAAAUAAACUCAGUUGACCAAUUUGUUUACCUUUAUUUAUUUAUUUUGGUGUUGCAUUCUUCAAGGUUUCUUCUGUGGAAAUGGAGGUUUUGGUUUCAAGGUGUUAUGAAAUACAAGAUAAGAAAUAAAAAAGUGUGUAACAUUGAUUGGGUGAAAUAUAGAAAAAUAUAAAUAUAAUCUUUGGUAUUUAGUUUUUAAAUUAAUAAAAAAAGCUAGACAUCAGGGUAAAUCGUAAAUGGUUUGUGUAUAGAAAUUAGAAAGAAAGUGGGACGGGUUUUAUCCCACAUCGCGCUGUGAGAGAGUCAAGUAGAACUUUCAACAAGCGUUUUCUUCUUAUUUACUACAACAAUCUAUUUUCUUGAAGUAAAAGACUUUUUUUUUUUGUUUUAAAGAUCAAAAUAUGUAACAUACAUUGUUACGUAAAUUGAUAAUAUAGAGAGUAUUGUUACACAUAGUCAAGUUCAAAUAACUGAAACAAUAACAACAAAAAGAUGCUCCCAAGAUCUCAUGGCAAUAGGAUAGGGGAGGUGAAUGUAGUUAGUCUUGCACUCUUGCUUCCACCUUGGGGAUAAUGCGGUUUCUAUUUUCACACAAGACCUCACACAUAAGAGAAAGGCGGUGCAAUCAGUAAAUAAAUGCAUCGAGUAUUUACAAACAAUGCAUAAUAAGAUUAUAAUAAGCAAAGGUGUUCAAAACAUAUAUCACUGAUGAAUAUGUGGAAGGGCAUGUAGAUGUUAAACGCUAAACUGACAUGCAUAAACAAAUAGAAGAGAGGUAAUGACUAGACUAUCCCAAUACACUCAUUCUAAGUCAAAGAAAAGACAAUCCCUUCACAUCUGAUACGCUAUCUUCGCAUGUCCUUCUAAGGAGUCCUCUCCUCCUUGUACCAUCAACUAAAGUUGUCUCCACCCUCCUCCUAAGGCCAUGUGAUGGCCUCCUAUGGACGUGUCCACCUCAAUUCUCAUUAGGAGGUCGAACCAAGGACCUAUGGAAGUCAAGCUAGCCCGUCCCCAUGGGCAACACAAUAAUGACCAUCACAAUCUUCCAUCCCUCAAAUAUCGAUGAUUGAUGACACACCUAACGCAUUUCUAAUUGCCUUAUUUCAAUUUUUUUAAACAAAGUUCUAAAGUAUAUCCAUCGUAACAUCCUUAUUUUUGCAAAUUUCAUAUCCUUUUCGAAGUCCUUCCGCAUCGGCCAAUAAUAUUCUAAUCCAUAUAACGUAGCAAACUGAACUACCACCAUAUAGAUCUUUCUUUUUGUUGGAACUUUGUUAAAUGGAAAACACUCUCUUUGGGACUUGUCCCACAUUGGAAGAAAGAGGAAACUUAUACUCCCUUAAAAAGCCUCUUACUAGUUGUUUAAUAAUUAGAUCAAAGGCUUGGACUAGAGGGAGUGGGUUGGAUUUGGUGAUUGGGCUAGUCAAAUUGGUCUUGAAAGCUUAUGUUAAUAUAUAUAUAUUUAAUGGUCAAAGAUUGGUUCUUGGGGUCUCAUUGACUAGUUACAAUAUUUUAUAUAUAUAUUAAUUCCGAU